This 244-nucleotide RNase P RNA is filed under the name Alphaproteobacteria bacterium. RNAcentral describes it as "partial RNase P RNA component class A". It matches the Rfam family "Bacterial RNase P class A", at positions 1 to 241 of the family's 367-position model. From Rfam's summary of the family: Ribonuclease P (RNase P) is a ubiquitous endoribonuclease, found in archaea, bacteria and eukarya as well as chloroplasts and mitochondria. Its best characterised activity is the generation of mature 5'-ends of tRNAs by cleaving the 5'-leader elements of precursor-tRNAs. Cellular RNase Ps are ribonucleoproteins. The record is from RNAcentral. Lineage: Bacteria; Pseudomonadati; Pseudomonadota; Alphaproteobacteria.
UCAGAUGGCCGGAUGGCCGCUCACCUUCGGCCAUUGGCCCAAGGUGGGAGGAAAGUCCGGGCUCCACGGAAACACGGUGCCGGAUAACGUCCGGCGGAGGCGACUCCAGGGAAAGCGCAACAGAAAGCACACCGCCGACGGUUCGUCCGGGCAAGGUUGAAAUGGUGCGGUAAGAGCGCACCGCGGCUUCGGCAACGAAGACGGCAUGGCAAGCCCCACCGGGAGCAAGACCAAAUAGGGACGG